This 465-nucleotide ribosomal RNA is filed under the name uncultured bacterium. RNAcentral describes it as "partial 16S ribosomal RNA". It matches the Rfam family "Bacterial small subunit ribosomal RNA", at positions 28 to 507 of the family's 1533-position model. The record is from RNAcentral.
GACGAACGCUGGCGGCGUGCUUAACACAUGCAAGUCGAACGGAAAGGCCCUGCUUGCGGGGUACUCGAGUGGCGAACGGGUGAGUAACACGUGGGUGAUCUGCCCUCCACUUCGGGUUAAGCCUGGUAAACUGGGUCUAAUACCUGAUAGGACCUUUCAUGUAGUGUGGGGGGUGGUAAGGUUUAUCGGUGUUGGUUGAACCCGAGGCCUAUCACCUUGUGGGUCGGGUAAUGGGUUACCAAGGCGCAGACGGGUAGCCGGCCCGCGAGGGUGGACGCGGACCAUGGGCCUGAGGUACGGCCCAGACUGCUACGGGCGGCAGCAGUGGGGAGUAUUGCACAAUGGGCGCAAGCGUGAUGCAGAGACGCCGCGUGGGGGAUGACGGCUUUCGGGUUGUAAACAUCUUUCGACAGGGACGAAGCUUCGGUGACGGUACCUGGAGAAGAAGCCCCGGCUAACUACGUG